Molecule: ribosomal RNA, 480 nt
Filed under: Salinivibrio sp. KP-1
Lineage: Bacteria; Pseudomonadati; Pseudomonadota; Gammaproteobacteria; Vibrionales; Vibrionaceae
Description: bacterial SSU rRNA
Rfam family: Bacterial small subunit ribosomal RNA
Source: RNAcentral
CAGCUCGUGUUGUGAAAUGUUGGGUUAAGUCCCGCAACGAGCGCAACCCUUAUCCUUGUUUGCCAGCACAUAAUGGUGGGAACUCCAGGGAGACUGCCGGUGAUAAACCGGAGGAAGGUGGGGACGACGUCAAGUCAUCAUGGCCCUUACGAGUAGGGCUACACACGUGCUACAAUGGCAGAUACAGAGGGCAGCGAAGCUGCGAAGUGGAGCGAAUCCCUUAAAGUUUGUCGUAGUCCGGAUUGGAGUCUGCAACUCGACUCCAUGAAGUCGGAAUCGCUAGUAAUCGUGGAUCAGAAUGCCACGGUGAAUACGUUCCCGGGCCUUGUACACACCGCCCGUCACACCAUGGGAGUGGGCUGCACCAGAAGUAGAUAGCUUAACCUUCGGGAGGGCGUUUACCACGGUGUGGUUCAUGACUGGGGUGAAGUCGUAACAAGGUAGCCCUAGGGGAACCUGGGGCUGGAUCACCUCCUUACU